Molecule: small nuclear RNA, 105 nt
Filed under: Nicotiana sylvestris (wood tobacco)
Lineage: Eukaryota; Viridiplantae; Streptophyta; Magnoliopsida; Solanales; Solanaceae
Also listed under: 1 other name
Source: RNAcentral
ACUUGUUUCUUUGGGUAAUCGAUAAAAGUGGAACGAUACAGAGAGGAUUAGGAUGGCUCUUAUUCAAGACUGAUAUGCAGAAAUCAAGAAAUGGACCAAAUAAAU